This 253-nucleotide ribosomal RNA is filed under the name uncultured bacterium. RNAcentral describes it as "partial 16S ribosomal RNA". It matches the Rfam family "Bacterial small subunit ribosomal RNA", at positions 524 to 776 of the family's 1533-position model. The record is from RNAcentral.
UACAGAGGUCCCAAGCGUUGUUCGGAUUCACUGGGCGUAAAGGGUGCGUAGGUGGUGAGGUAAGUCGGAUGUGAAAUCUCCGGGUUCAACCCGGAAAUGGCAUUGGAAACUACCUUGCUGGAGGAUUUGAGGGGGGAUUGGAAUACUUGGUGUAGCAGUGAAAUGCGUAGAUAUCAAGUGGAACACCAGUGGCGAAGGCGAAUCCCUGGAAAAUACCUGACACUGAGGCACGAAAGCUAGGGGAGCAAACAGG